CCUACGGGCGGCAGCAGUGGGGAAUUUUGGACAAUGGGGGCAACCCUGAUCCAGCCAUGCCGCGUGCGGGAAGAAGGCCUUCGGGUUGUAAACCGCUUUUGUCAGGGACGAAAAGCUCCGGAGUAAUAUGCCGGAGUGCUGACGGUACCUGAAGAAUAAGCACCGGCUAACUACGUGCCAGCAGCCGCGGUAAUACGUAGGGUGCAAGCGUUAAUCGGAAUUACUGGGCGUAAAGCGUGCGCAGGCGGUUGGGUAAGACAGAUGUGAAAUCCCCGGGCUUAACCUGGGAACUGCAUUUGUGACUGUCCGACUGGAGUACGUCAGAGGGGGGUGGAAUUCCACGUGUAGCAGUGAAAUGCGUAGAUAUGUGGAAGAACACCGAUGGCGAAGGCAGCCCCCUGGGACGCAACUGACGCUCAUGCAC
This 424-nucleotide ribosomal RNA is filed under the name uncultured Bacteroides sp. RNAcentral's name for it is "bacterial SSU rRNA". It matches the Rfam family "Bacterial small subunit ribosomal RNA", at positions 338 to 754 of the family's 1533-position model. Lineage: Bacteria; Pseudomonadati; Bacteroidota; Bacteroidia; Bacteroidales; Bacteroidaceae. The record is from RNAcentral.